UAGGGAAUAUUGCGCAAUGCCCAAAUGGGUGACGCAGCAACGCCGCGUGGAGGAUGAAGUUUUUCGGAAUGUAAACUCCUGUCAGAGGGGAAGAAUGUCCCGAUUUAUCGGGAUUGACGGUACCCUCAGAGGAAGCUCCGGCCAACUCCGUGCCAGCAGCCGCGGUAAUACGGGGGGAGCAAGCGUUGUUCGGAAUCACUGGGCGUAAAGGGUGUGUAGGUGGGUCAGUAAGUUAGAUGUGAAAGCUCCGAGCUUAACUCGGAGACUGCAUCUAAGACUGCUGGUCUUGAGUACGGGAGAGGAAAGUGGAAUUCCUGGUGUAGCGGUGAAAUGCGUAGAUAUCAGGAAGAACACCGGUGGCGUAGGCGACUUUCCAUUCCGAUACUGACGCUGAAACACGAAGGCUAGGGGAGCAAACAGGAUUAGAUACCCUGGUAGUCCUAGCGGUAAACGUUGGACACUAGGUGUUGGAGGAGUCGACCCUUUCAGUACCGAAGCUAACGCAUUAAGUGUCCCGCCUGGGGAGUACGGUCGCAAGGUUG
Molecule: ribosomal RNA, 542 nt
Filed under: uncultured bacterium
Lineage: Bacteria
Description: bacterial SSU rRNA
Rfam family: Bacterial small subunit ribosomal RNA
Source: RNAcentral